ACAACAUCUAGCAAGGGAAUGUUGAUCUCCACCUUUUUGAAAGUAUUCAAGAUCUCUUGGUCUAACUCCUCCAUUUUUUUGUUUCUCAGCUUCAACCGAUUGGGAUAUGGAGGAGGUGGAGAAUAAGAUGAAGAAGAAUUUUUAGAAGAAGAGUUAGGAGGUACUAACCUAGAUUUUUCAGUGGUAGUCUCAGGUGAUGGUUCAUUUGGUCCUCCAUUGUCAUCAACUUGUUCNUCUUCUUUCUUCUUAUCUUCAUCCUCUUGGACUCCUUCAGGGCCUUGUACUUGCUUACCCGUUCUUAAAGUAAUAGCACUUACAUUUUGUGGGUUGAUCACUGUUUGUGCAGGCAGCUUAUUUGACUCCUUAGCCUCUAACUUUU
This 379-nucleotide long non-coding RNA is filed under the name Vigna radiata. RNAcentral's name for it is "long non-coding RNA (VRAD_LNC004781)". Lineage: Eukaryota; Viridiplantae; Streptophyta; Magnoliopsida; Fabales; Fabaceae. The record is from RNAcentral.